UUCCAGCGUUAGGGAUUGCAGUGGAAAUCCUUUUUGCGAGGGACAAUAAACUUUCCAGGAUCAAAACCACAAAACAUUUAUAUAAAAACCUCGAAUUUUAAGACAAGUUCUGAAAUAUUAAAUUUCGAUUAUCGAGCAAAAAGAUUGUAGCGGAAAGCCCGACCCGCC
Molecule: small RNA, 168 nt
Filed under: Salegentibacter mishustinae
Lineage: Bacteria; Pseudomonadati; Bacteroidota; Flavobacteriia; Flavobacteriales; Flavobacteriaceae
Description: Flavo-1 RNA
Rfam family: Flavo-1 RNA
Source: Rfam by way of RNAcentral